Long non-coding RNA from Gasterosteus aculeatus aculeatus (three-spined stickleback), 29233 nucleotides. NCBI's taxonomy places the organism in Eukaryota, Metazoa, Chordata, Actinopteri, Perciformes, Gasterosteidae. The record is from Ensembl.
AUAUAUAUAUAUAUACACACACAUUUACAGGGUUAAUGUUCUGCCUGCAACGAGAUGACUUCUACUUGCAGGGAGCACAGCAGCUCAGCCAAAUAAAAGACCACCAGUGACUGUAAACCCCUUCAGGAUGAUUCUGUUAUUUGUCUGAUGAGACAUCUUUGUUGUCUGCUGGUCACCGACAAUCGUACACUACUGAUGUGUCUCGUCAGUCAACUUCUGCCCCCAUUAUUUGGCAAAUUGACUCAUGAGUGCCGUGUGGUAACCGGAACGUAAUGUGGCACAUUAUUCUUUCUUCCUCUCUCCUUUUAUUCUCUGUGUUUUUCUCUCUUUGCGCCUCCUUCACAGUCUUUUAACGACGAUGUCAUUUUUUUCCCCCAGGUGAGCGUUCUGUGCAUGUAAGACUGAUGAUUUGAAAUAAAGUAAUUCCCUUAAAUGUUUUUUAAAAGCAGCGUUAGCCAUGACAUCAUGGCGAUUAUUGAUGACAUCAUUAUUAUGUAUAGGAUCCCUCAGUGAAUAAUAACCCGUGAUCUGUCAUUUCUCCUCUUAUUGUCACUGCAAGUUGUAAAGGUUAGGUCAUUUAUUUUAAUGUUUAAUGUGUCAGCUGGUAUUUCCAUGCACUACCGUCCCGGUAUAUUCCACACUUAAAGGCAAUGUUGUUCCGUUUUACUUCAGCUCACAAUCCUGGAAAAGUGCUUGUCAUGAAUAAUCUACAAAGUCUUAUUUAAUUGUGUUAGGGCCCUUCUUUGGGUCAUACUCUUCUAGAUCUUGGUAAAAUAAAACCAGUUAUAGAUUAUAGCAUUAUCAUAUCUUUAUUUUAUAAAAUAUCCAAAUCAGAAUUACAUAUCCUCUGUCAUAAAGUACUCCUCAUUUUAAUUAUUUAAAGAAAUCCGGCUGAAAUCAGACUAAAAAUGCGCUAUACAGUGAAGUAAAUAUGCAUUGUUUUGUAAUAUAUUUUCCUUCAUUUCAAUUUUGUAUUUACUAUCUUUUUUAACCGUGAAAAAUAGGUGGACGGCUUUAUGAAACAUGGGACACGGCAACAGAAAAAAGGCCCCACAUACAAAGACAUUUCUGUACAGCAUAUUCCCCAAAGAUGAAUAGCUGUUUGGUGGUAUGGUCGUGCAGAACAAUGAGAAGGAUUUCAGGAAAAUGGGCUUUGGGGUGGCAUUGUACGCAUACAUUGUGGAGGGGUGGUUGGGGGGGGGGUGUCCGCACGCUUGAGCGCAUUUAAAUUUACACAAACUCUCUAGGAAUGACAGUGAUAAAUGUUACACUCUAUUCUACAAUAUGUUUAAUGCAUAGGUCUGAGGAGUUAAGUUUUCCCCUCUGGUACGAGGCUGCUGUUGUAGUUACCACUAUAUGUUACAUCAGAUUCCCUUCCAUUAAAAUGCCAAGUGGCACAGUGAAGACAGCAGGAGAAUGUGACACUGAAUUUGUUUACCUGUCACCUUCCUCCAUCCUUCACCCCUCCACCCUCUUUUUGUGUGAACAUAAAUACGUGUGUACAAUUUUGUGCGUUUGUGUGCACGAGGUCAGAUGACGGAGGUUCGGUUGAAGCAAAACCGGAAGACGAAACGCAUAAGAAGACAAAAACUCACCAUCUUCUUAAUUAGUCUGUCGGCACAAAGAAUACAACACAUUUUCCUCCUUUUUUUCUGCCUUACCGAUCAAACUUAAGGAAAAGCAUUUUGGCACCGUAAGGAUGGACUGUCAGGCCUCUCAGCAAAAAAAAAUCUAUCCUUAUCACUGAGGAAAUUCAGCUGUGACUGGCCGCAUCGGGGUGUAUUUCCUUCGCUCUGCCUAUGACUGUCACAAAACAACCGGACCACUGCUGUUGACACACACAGAAAAAAAAUCUUUCAGCUCUCUGCCUUACUUUCUUUUUCUCUCUUCUCACACACACACACACACACUGGCAUACACAUACGUACAGAGAGACACGUGUGGAUUAUAAGCGAGUGCAUGUUGGAGUCUCUGACCUGCGUUUGAUCUCCUGUGAGACGGGUCUGCAUCAGUAGCUGAGUGUUCUUCUACUGUAAGUGUACCACUGUAAGCACGGAUAAGAUAGCGUGCAGGCUUGAUCUCUCUUAAGGAUAAGUGUUUUGGCUCACAGUGCACCUGGAUAGGCACGGAAACACCUGAGUGGAUGUUUUUAAAACGUACUGUAUACUGGGGUGCCACAGUAUAUAUCCGUGAAGCCACCGGGGAUUAUAUACACACACAUACACACACAUACACACACAGACGCAAUAACUUUUCAUGUUUGCACUGCAGGUCUCGGAAAGAUGUUUCUGAGAAUAUGUUUUAGGACGGGCUUUAAAUAAUUUCAAAUUCACGUUGUUCAAGCUUGCAACAUAACAGUAUUGAAUAAUAAAGAUAUCCUUCUAUCCGGUCCAUUCUAAACUUGACGGUGGAAAUUUCACCCAUAACAUGCGGCAGAAAUAUAUCCUUUGUGUUCUUUUCCGACUGUUUGUUCUAGUAACACAGGUUUUCACUCAUCUGAACCAAACAGCAUUACCAGCAAACAAGUGCAGAAGUGGGUGGAAGCAUAUUCUUUAGGUUUAUGACCCAUUCAAUAGCCUGGGCCGAGCCCAGCUCCUUGUGCGCUGUGGUUGGCCCACUGUAAAGCCUGUAAUAUGUAAACAAACAAGCCCAAACUUUCUCUGAUUUACAACAUUAGCGCAUCUUGGCCGGGGAUCCUUCACCGUCUCCAACAGGCCCGAGCCAGCCAGCAAUUCUAGUCGCAGACAGCUUGAGCACUUUCGAUUUUAUACCUCAGCAAUUUUUAUAGCGUCUUUAGCUCUGCACGCACCGACCACGCCAUUUCCUCAGGAAACCGGGAGCCUGCAAGAGCCGGAGAGGAAGAGGCAAAUAACAAUCGCACACACACGCCCACACACACACACAACGAAAACAGGUGUUCAUGAAGGAUGCUAAGUAGCUAGGUCAUGUGACAUGAACUGUUUUGCGCUGCGAUUGGACCCUGAUGCAGAAUGCGCUGCGCCUGGCUUCUGAUUGAAUUGGCUGAUGGUACAGCUCUGUCUCAGUGCUUCCCACUCAGAUUAAGUAAGGUAGAGUAGCCAAGCCUCUGAGGGUUUUAGCAUCUGUGCAAGGUUGCUGUAACUGAUACUGUGAAGUUAUAAUUAAAGGUUCCAACUGAGGGAGCUUGGUUUGAUGUAGUCCACACCUUACCCCUCUCCUGCAGGAUAACUAGAGGAGUAAUGUGGGAGGCAGGAGAGCAGCCGAAAAAACAUUCAUUACUGUCCAUGAGCCCGUUCAGAUGUGAGCUUACAGGACUGGAAAAAAGAGGCUCCAACAGAUCAAUAUUUAUAUUUAUCUACAAUUCAACUAAAACAUGUAUCCGUUGGUAUUUCCUAGUGGUCGAACAACAGCUACAGCAUGAGUGUAAAAAAACACAGUACCAUCAAACAAUGGAUAAGUGCUACUUAGUCCCUAUAAUUGCAUUUCAAAAUAGACAUUAUUUCUCUGUUCUCCUGAUGCAGACUUGGAGCACUGAUAUGCAACUCUGAGUCCAUAUUUCAUCACCAUGUGUACAAGGUUAGAGUUUUCAAUUGCCACACAAUGUCUCCCAUUUUUCAUUUACCUGGUGGAAAAUCGGAUGCGACAGUUACAUUUUGACAGUAGAGAAAAUCUACUGUUUGCCAUUAGAGCUAAUGUCAUGUUUCUGUGCUAAUCCCUCAUCAUUUUUGGGCCUCAUUGCCUAUUUUUCUCUAUGAUAUUAAGUAUUCAAAGCUCAUUUACAUUCUUAUUUUUCAAUUUGCUGCUGCAGUAGUUUAAUUUAUUCCAUAUAAUUUCUUUUUCUGAGAGGGACAUUAAUCAUUGACUGUACGUUUUAGUGCCUCUGGGAUUUUUUUAAUCAAUAAAAUAAAGGGAUAAAAGACUCAGCACUGUUACAAAGGCUGUACGGAGGAUUUGUUUUCUUCAGUUGCUUCUGUUUUACCAGAUCUUUAUGUUUGUUCAAAUUCAAUUAUCAGUCUUAGUGCACCUUAUUAUUCUGUCUCGUUGAUAAAUGUGUCCAAGUUCAUUAUCUCUUGAUAUUUUGGCCCCUGGAGAACUUUCAUAGAAAGUUUCUUUUUUUCUAUUAGUCUUUCUCAAUAUUGUUUGUAAAGCAGCGACAAAAGCAUGUCUCAGAAAUAACCCUCAUAUCAAUGAGGGUCUCCCUGCAACGCUUCUAGUAGUUCUAUAUAUUUAUGGUCUGUUAAGCUGGGGGGCCUAACCACUUUCAUCCUCUUUCUUCCUCCCUUUUCUUGUUGUUUCUCCAUGCUUUCACAUUCAUUUUAUGCUUGGCUAUUCCGAAGGCUAUCAGUGUAUUAAUGCCAUGGCUUAAGCCAAACAGCCUCGGUGAGAUAAGCCUCCGGGUCGUCAUGUGGCUGUUCACAGUUCAUACACUGCUUUCCCCCCUUAGUUGGAAACCCCAAAUCAUUUCAUAAAAUUAAUCUGUUUUUGGUGUGUGUGUGUGUGUGUGUGUGUGUGUGUUCACAUUUUUGUGCUCCUACAUUUUCACCCCAAAAUUUAAAGAAAAUAAUAAGUUGCGUGUGUCUAGAGGACACGGGGAAUAGCACAUCUUCAUUAGUUAUUGACUUGUUUGAGAGGCUUGACCUUCCAUAGGUGUGAGGCGGGGGUUUGAUCGUCGGGGGUCUGCGGAGAUGGAGGGGGUCUGUAAACUCUGAUACAUAAUGCUGUGGGCUAUAAUACUUUGUGCAUGGUUGCUCGCAGGCCUGCUAAUCACAAGGAAGAGACCCCGCUGUCUCACUCCAUAAACCUGGCCCAGUAAGAAGACAGCCACGGGGGCACAAUGUCACUUGUAAAUCCCAAAUUAAACUCAACUGCCCAAAGCUCCCCGGCGUAAAAACACCCUCACCUCCAUCCCGCCUGCCCAUGUCUUUCUCACAGCCUCGCGGGCUGUAAAAACAGGAACAUGGUGCUGAAAGGUGUCCAGGUGUCAACGGUGUCAAGGUUGUGGAGUGGUCAAUUUGUCCGCUUCUUGGUCACGUUUGGUUUUAUGCAUGUAUUUCAUGCUUGCGGCUGUGCCCAAUCCCCCAUGCAGUCUAUUCUGAACCCUUCAUCCCCUUCUUAUGACGAGUCAUAAGUUUCUGUUUACAAAAAUAAGUUAUGCUACAACAAAUACAAACCACUUCCACGUACAUUUUCAUCAGAUCCCUCCUCUUCGUUUUUUCAAAGAUUGCAAAAUAAAUGUAUUUGUAUGCACAGUGGCUAGUUUGAGCUUGCAACAGGGGAGGGGAAAGGGUCUCCUUGAAGGCAAUCUGUUCAUUAAGAUAAUGUGUUAGUUCCAAUUAAACUAACAUUAAAACGAUCCCCAUAAAGAGUUGGAGUCAGCGUUUUUCCUAACUUGCUCUUUUAAUUACAUCGUUCCUCUCCUGUCAUUAAGGAUAUUAAAAAUUCAUUAACAAGAAUAGUACUGCAUCACAGCCACAAAUCAGAGAGACUUUCAUCUCACGUUGUCAAAAGAUUAUUGCCAUUAGUGAUUUCAUCUGAAAGGCGUUAAGUUCUCCUUAAGCGAUGUUUCAGGACCUCCGUGUCAACAGGUUACCGCGGUGGUAAACUGUCAAGUUGUUAAAGCUUUGCAUUUAUUUGUAAGGUAUUUUAAUAUGCGAUUUAAUGGAAAAAGAGGGAGACAUUUAGAUGAUGAAUGAGCUUUAGCAACAUAGGGCUUUAUGUGUUGUAUUUAUCCAUUUAUUAAAUGUACAUUUAUUUGCAGUGCAUCCAGCAUCCCCUCUAAUGUGAUUCCAUUGCCGGCUGUUAUGUUUUCCGUCAGUUAUAUUUCUCGCUCCUAAUUUGUUUUCAUCAAAUGUGUUUAUGGCUAGCCGAAGCUGUUUUACAGCUUCCCUAUCGAACCGUGCUGCUGCUGCUGCUGCAGGAAAUGAGUCUUUCCAUGAAUAACGUAAGCCUUGCCAGUGUGGUCCUUGCCAGGGAGAAGAAAGGAGGGAAACUAAAUCUGCAUCUCUGCGAUAUCAUAACUGCAGAUUUAUGCUGCACAGUUUUCAACAGAUAGCAUAUGAAGCUGACUUUCUAGUAUAAUCAACACCAGUGUGCAGCCCAGGCUGUCCCACCUAAUGAUGAAGAUUAAACAGAUAUACAAACAUUCACACACACAUGGGACAUGCAGCAGGUGUUAAUGUGAAAAUAAUUAUGGGUUUGGCAUGAAAGUGAAGAAUAAUUAAAUGAAUAAAUGUAAAACAACAGCUUUGAAAUGUUUUGUUGGCACAGAAAUGCUUUUGUGUCCUAAAUAUUUCCCUUGUGGUAUAUUUGAACACCUUCAUGCACAUCUUCAGUGUUAAGAAAAUGAAGCAGAAGUACAUGAGAGAACCAUGGGUGGAUAGUGCACAUUUUGAUGUGCAUGUCAGACAUGUGCUGUAAUGGCUGAGAACACAGACAUUACUUUUUUACAUUUAUUCAAGGGAUGUGAGUAGAUAUCAAAAAUACUUUUGGAAAAUUUUAAAUAAACACGAAUCUCCCACCAUUUUUACAAAGUUCUCUUGUUCAGUUGGUCGGAAUCAGGACUGGGUUUCUAUUGCUAUCAACAGCUUAUACGUUGAGUGUUAAGUCCACAUUCUUUGUGGCUACCACAUAUUUUCAAACUAAUGACUUUUUAAAUACGGCUGCACCAAAACUACCUAAAAAGUGUUAAUAAGUAAAGACGUAAACGAAAAACUUACUCAAAAUAUGUCAUAUACAGGGACUUCCAAAAAUAAGACUUUUUAUGGCCGAUAUGUAAAACCCAUAUGGUUCAGUUAGCUAUGUAAUAGUCAGGGGUCGCAGUUAUAAACGCGUAACUACCUGACUUAUUGGAGCUGGUUUGUGACCUGUGACCUGCAACCUGCGUUAACUUACCGCAUUAAGAUGCAUUCAUCUGAACAAAUUAUUGUAAUAUUUAUUAACUUAAUAUAAUGAACUGAUGAACUGCUGGUACAAAAAGUGUUCUGCAUAAGUGUAUUGUAUAUAAUUAGAAUUAUAUUGUAUCGAACUAACAUUCCUGCUAUGCAGGACCAAUCAACUGAAUUAAUGCUAAAUACAGUUUCAGUUUCAGUUUGACACCGACCACGGACACAUUUGGGCACAUAAUUCUCUUUCAGGCAGAAUGACCAGUGUGUGAACUUUCCACGUGUACACUUCACUGACAGCUCAGAAAAACAAGAGCAUAACGUCACCUCUUUAUUUAUAUUCCAUCAGGAGAUGCUGAAAUAUUGAUAUUAACCUAAUUAACUGGCAUCAGAGGGGAGUCUUGUUUAGUUUUUCAAUUGGUACAAGGGUAAAGUAAACUGGAGAUUAGACUAAAAUAUUCACCACAGCAGAGCAAUAAUGUAUGAAGUUAUGGAAUAAAAUGUAUUUUUCAUCUAUUUGAAUCCCCUUUACUAUCUGACAAAUAAAAAGACACGUCACUGUGCUAAGGUGCACAUUUGUUGUUGAAUUCUGGACAGGUCGGCUGGUUUUACUCAACCGCAAAACACACCACAACUGCACCCCCGCCCAACAAAUGCACUUAUUGAAUUGCAUCACGUGGCCCUGUGGGGCUCCCAUUACUCACGCUGCCUAAUCUGUAAUGACUGUCUAUCAUCCACCAGCCGAGCCCAGAUGGACUCUCUCAUUGAUUAUACUCCAACAAAACAAAAAAUCCAGUGGUCCAACACAAUGCUGAUUAUGAGAAACUAUCUCCACAUUCCCCUUCACUUUUCUCCAAUAUCACUCACUCUAUAAUCCCAUUUAUGUAUUUCAGCAGAUCUCCUCUCCCUCAGAAGAAUAUGCUAUUGAUCAGGCCUGAAUGUGUGUUUUUACGUAGGUUUGUGUGAGACGUGGACGGGCAGCUCUGAGCCUGUUUUUACAUAGCGACCGAGCUCUUAUUGGCUUCGGUGUGGGGACCCAUAUCCCAGCUGUGUACGAGAUCCAUCAACCUUGACAGGUCUAUUGUACCACCACCCUUCACAGGCUCUGACCAACGACUCGCACUAAGAUAUCACUUUCAAUUAGAAAAACAUUCAUGAGCAGGGAUGGAGGUGGGUUUGAGACGACCAAUGCAACAGGGGGCCCACAGGGCUGCUAAUUUAAUCUUUUUGCAUUCAAAAUGAUAUCAGAGCAACGACAGGGUUGAGAAAGUUUCCUUCUCAGCUAAAUAACCGAUUUUUCUCAGAAAAUCAAUUUUUGCCUUUUUUGUGGAAAGGACUUGAUAUUUUCAAGUUAAUUGUGUCAGUUCAUCCAUAUACUGCUCAUCCUGUUCAUGGUAUGGAUUUUAUAUAAAUAGUGAAUUUAUUCACCUCAACGUCACAAUUUAGUUUAUGGAUUGAAGUUCAGCUUUUCCGGUCAUCUUGUUUUUUACCAACCACAAGUGGCCUGACAGGCUGGAAAAAGGUACCGAACACUGGACAAGACACUAUUACACUAUUAGGAAACCAAAAUGUAGAAGUUAACUUCCAUGAACUGAAAAUACACUGCGAAAGAGUCAAAGUUGUCAAACAAAAACAUGGACAACUUACAGACCGAACAACACCAUGGUGGCGACCUGCCGAUCAAAAAGUGUAGGCGCACUGAAGCAAGCACUUGCUUUAUGGUUUAUUGUCUUUUAAAUGAAAGUCGUUGCUGUUUCGAAAAAGACAUAUACAGUAAGUACAAUAAAAGUUUCUUUCUACUGGCCAGCUUUACUUCUCAGACAGGGUCCAGACAAAAGCCCAUUUCAGUGUCCAUUGGGGCACUAUGCACAUGUACUAUGAACUACUAGAAAUGCCGUCUAAUUCAAAUAUACAGUUAAUAGCUGCUGUUCUUUUUGUGAUUAUGAACUGAAAACAGCUGUUAUAAUAACACUUUUGUUUUAGCAUUAUGAGUUUAAUCUUUAAUAAUGAUGACAGUCAUAAUGCUAUUAUAAUAAAAGAUUGCUGUACUGUGGCUCCGGUGUCAAUGAUCGAGUCAAAGAGGCUCUUAUGCUCACCGUGCUGUUUAGGCACCAGUAUUUCAAAUCCUGCUUAAGAACCAAUGAAUGUGCUCCUGAGCGAUAUUAGUUGCAGUGUCUACAAAUCAAAGAGAGAAGCCCGAUCCAAAACUAAACAAAUAAAAAGGGUCUCGUGGUCCAUGGAGGACCGAAGGAUUUCAGAAUUCCAAAAAUGAAUGGGUAUUUGAAUGAUUGCUGCUGUGACAGGCUUGCUGUGAUAGAAUAACACAUUCUGUUGAACAAAUAGGCCCUUGAGUGCCGGCUGGUCCCAGGGGUCUGUCUAUAGCCCCGAGGCUUUCACAGAGAUGUGCUGCUCACAGCAUGGCUGUGCCCUAACACAAACACACACACACACACACACACACACACACACACACACACACACACACACACACACACGCAGACCAUGUUUCUGUAAUGUAUGGCAGGAAAACACACUGUACUCUACUGUCUGUGUGUGUAAAUACUAAACAAAGAGAAUAAGUGGAGACAAAAAGAGAGAAUGAAGGAAAAAGGGGAGCGGUCUUGGGAGUGAAAUUGAUGCGACUGUGUGGCAGAAUGUGACUCUCUCCAACAGACUACGUCCAAGAAGAUUUCCUCAAAUGCAAACUAUUUUCUGAGGUGUUACUGUUGAACUACAACUUUUGUCUUUCUGGAAACAGAAUCAAAAUCUGAAGUCUCCCGGUUUCGGUUGUUGCAGCAGCAUGUUAGAAAACGCUCCAGCGGGGCAAAAAGCACUGGCGCUCAGCGUUGUUCACUGGUGCCACACGAGACAUGUUGCUGGUGUUGUAAUGGCAUGAAUCCUACACUGCAGCCCGGCAGCCCCACACAGCACGCUCUUUGAUGAUGUCACAGGGUUAGAUAGGCGCCAUUGUAGAUAUGGGCUUCCAGGGAGCGACUACACACUGUUGUAGCAUCUGUUGAAAAAGAAACACCCUCCCAAGUCCCUUUGACACAGCUUUUUUUUAAAGGAGCAGUGGACAAAGCCACAGUUUCUUCUGUGAUAUCCUGUUAAGGCUGUUCUGGAGCCAGCCAAGCAUGGCCGUCCUUCAGAGAGCUGGGGCAACAUCAUUCAGCUUCCUCCUUGUGAUCCAAGGCACACAACAAACCCUGUGGUCCACAGCUCAGUGGCCAAGGAAAAAGACCCGUCACACAAUGUCUUUUACCCAUACGCACAUUCAGAGGCACGCACAUUGUGCAGCAGCCACAUUUGGACAUGCGCUCGGCCAUUCACAAGCACAUGCAUGCAAAUCACUUAUAAAAGGGAUUUUUAACAUUUAUAACAUGUAUAUUUUCCUUUUUAAUUUUUUUGUGACAUUCUUCAAGUUCACAAAAUUCUUCUUUAUCUUCCGCGGUUCAUCAUAAUGGCCCACCAACCUGUUACCUCAUCAUUAUGCCCCAAAAUAACAAAAGGCUGGAUGAUUUUCAUAUUCAGCAACAAAGGAAAACAAAAGUCUUUGUGCCGAAUGAAAAUGGAGAACAUACAUGUUGCCUCAAAUAGACCUCUGUUUCCACUGAGCUCAAUUAGACAAGUGCUAACUGUAUAAUUAACACCCCCAACAGAGUAAUCAAACAGAAUCUAAAUUAAUGGCAAUGUUGACGUCUUGAGGAAAGGGUUUGAAUGGUGGGGGUGGACGAAAUACAGAAAGGAUAUCUCAGGGGCAAACAUGAUAGAAUUACAAAAUGAGCAGCUUGCAAACUGUCUCAGCUUUGAUGAAGUAACGUUUAAUUAUCCCCCUGGUGGAAGAGGUCCCCUAUUGUCUAAAGCUAAUUUGUCCCUUUUGGCUAUUUCCCUACCCCAGAGGCCUGUCUGUCUCAGGUUACCCCGCCUCCUCCUCCUUACCAGCCCACUGCCACCCUGGGUAUCCGAAUCUCCCUGCUCCAAAGACAACCAUAACCCUGAGUUAGGCCCAGACAGUAUUUUGUUUGUUAAGUGUAGCCCAAAGAUCUGGGCCCUUGGGAAAAGAUGAAAGGACGAGUGCCGCCUCCCUCUCAGGGAAAGGAUCAAGCAGGUCAAUUUCCUCUGACUUUGUCCUGUCUUGGAGUUUGUAUUCCCUCCAUCCACAAAGGCCACCAUUGGACUGGAGCGGAGGCUCACUCUCUCUCAGCUGCCCUGUCUCUGCCCCCAUUUGAUUCACAGAAUAAUAGAUGGCAAUGCAUGCCUCCUAAGCACAACUCAACUUGAAACAAGAGAUAACACUCCUUGGGAAGGAAUGGUCAUCCAAAUAGAAACAGAUACUGUAGAAUUUAACACAAAGUUGUAGUGGGACACUGUGAAAACAAGAUUAUUGUUGAAGAAAACAUUCUGCGGGGGGUUUCGGAUCAAAUGUUCUGAAAGGUUUUUGUGUUUUAUGUCAAACAUUGUUAGCCAGUUCUGUUCAUUUUUCCUAUUUAGCCUUGAACAAUUUCUAACGCGCCCAGAUAAUAAAAUUAAACAUAUUCACAUUAGGACUGACAUUGGAUCCAGUUCACAUUUAAAUGCAAUUUAAAAAAUGCAUAUAUUUGCAUAGUGAAUUAAAAUUAAGAUCUAAUUAUGCAAAUAAAUUAUCAAAUGCGACAGCGGAUGGUUUUCAAUUCAGCUAAUAUCUAAUUUUGUGAGACAAUAGUUAUUUGAUGGUCCAAACGGAAUUGCAACCAUUUUGCUGCAGAGUCAUACUAAGGUAUUAAAUAUUCAGGUGGUAUUUAAUUACAAAGAAAGCUUAUAAAUUACAAAUAUUGCUUGUUAAAUACAUGAAGACAAAUCCCCCUCCCUAAAGAAUUACAUUUCCUUGAAACAUACUCCUUAAUUCAGUCGUUUUAAAAAGAAAGCAGUAUCAUGAGCCGCCCUAAAAGUUCAUGUGCAAUUAAAUAAAAUAUAAUGGGUUUACAUAAUUUUAAAAAGAUAACUAUAAUGCUCAUGGUUGAUAAGAAAAGUAAAGAAAUCAUUAAAUGUAAGGUCCUACCUCCUACUGCGAGUCGAGCCCUUUUAAAAUCAGAAUGGGGCAUUAAUAGAGAAAUAUUUAUGUGUUUGAAGCUUUCUUUCCACAAGACAAGCAUGUUAUUUUCAUUAUUAAAUGAAACUUGAUAGCACAGCGCUAACUGAACGUUUAAUCAACAUUUCAAAGAAUUUUAAAGUGGGUAAACAUCUUUUAAAUAUUAAUUAUGGCAGAGGAGGGGAAGCGGAUGCACAAUUCCCAAAAGAUCACCGCUCGGAUGAACAUCGUCUCGAACAAAAUGAGAAAAACUGCAGCCAAACUGAACAAACAAAUCCCCAGAAUCACACCCAAUGUGACACACGGUGAGCACAGAGGGUCAGCACAGAUAAGAAAUCCUGUACCUAACAUGAAUUUGUAAUGAGCGGGACGCUUUCUUUGACGAAUGAUGCCUCCAGCAGGGGUCCUCCCUUUUACAGGAAGCAGUCAGGGUGCCUGAGCACAGAUCUAUAGUAAUCUACAGUUUUGUAUGUUCAUGAGUUUUAAUUAGUAGCAAUUUAAAACUAUGCUAUUAAAACCAAAGAUGCAUCUCGUUGGUGGAUGGUUUUUAUGUCGAGGACGUCUGUUGGUAGAUUGGUGUGAUUAAAAAUCCCAUUAGGAUAAGUACAACUUUUAAGUAGCAAGGAGAGAAAAUGUAACUUUCACUUAAAGACUCAGAAUUUCCUCCAUGUAAGCGUGGAGAUGAACAACAGUUGGUUAAUGCACUGGCCUCUCACAACCUUCGCUUCAGCAUUAAUUAGUAUGUAUGAAAUGGAGUUGAUUUAGGUCAAGAGAAGGAUACUUGUGUGUGAAUGUGUAGUUGCUUCUUCAAAAAGCUAAGUUCUCCAAAAUCUCUUUGAAUGAAAGCUGCUUUUGCAUUAUCUAUUUUCUGAAUGCUUCUGACGCAGUGCCAAUUUAUUUGUUCCAACUGAGAAAUCAAUCCUCUUUAUCAGACACAAACAGGUUCCUAUGACUGAUCCACGUAUCAGAAAUAAUCUAAUUCUAAGAAAAAUCUUAAAGCAGAAGAUUAAAUAAUCUUUAGAAAAAGAAUCUGAUGUGAUUGUCAGUGUAAAAUUACAAUGUGUCAGAAAUAAUAAGGUUUUCCCGUCUCCAUCAUUCACUUCUCUCCUUCAUUCUUGCAUAGUAAAAUGUGAUUGCUGUCAUAUCUCAAAGAAAAGCAAACUAAUAUACUCGAAACGUCAUUUGCCCAAUCAAAGAUGUUUUUUAUUGCAAUAACGCAAAUAGCUUAAAUCCCUGAAGAAAUGUUUGACUGUGGCCACACAAAAUAACAAAUUCUAUGAAUCGUUUGUAUUUUUAUUUUAUCUCCCUAAAUGCUGCUCAAAAUAUAAAAAUUAAAUGUUUCAUCAAACAACGGUUUGAUGAGUGAAGUUUAGGAACACUUAACUGAACUCAUUACAGUAUUUACAAUUGCCUCAAUAAAUACUAAGCUGACGGAGUAGCGGUGAUGUAAAUACACCUCUGCAUGUCGUUUUAAAUUUCAGGUGUUUUAAACCUGAUGACUAACAUCACGCAGCCGGGCGGAGCAUGGAGGGGAGGUGGUGGAUGAAACAGGUGGAGGGUAAUGAAGAGUAUCACGGGGUAAUUGAUGACCCUUCCUCGGCAUUGGGGAUAUUGUUCCAAGGCUUAAUCUUUGUCAUCAAAGAGAGAGAGCGAGCGUGCAUGAGAUGGAGGGGCAGAGAGCUGGAGCCUUACUGCGAACUCUCUCUCUCUCUGUGUCUCUCUGUGUCUCUCUCUCCCUCCUGAGGGUCAAGUAAACAGCCUUAGCAGGGACAGCUCAGGGGCUGGUGUCUGACCAGCCAGGCUGAAAAUGGCCCUUGUCCGUUUCUUGCCAUGUAGCAUUUCUUUCCCCAGCUGUUUGUCCUUUUGUCACGGACGCAGCUUGUAAUAAGAAGAGCCAACAUAUUUAUGGAGUGGCCGACCUCGCUGCUACACGGGCCUCUUAUCUGCCGGGCACAAAACGGCUUUGUUACUCUUUUAACAAUUCACAAACCCGCGCGGUGGCGGAGAGGGUUGUUUUUGAAGGGCGGCGGGUGUUUGGGAGCGUGCGCGUGUACAGCGGGCUGGUUUAAUGGCGUGCGGGUUUGUUUGGAAGCAAGGAAAUAGAAGAAACAGUUACAUUUUUCAUCUUCAAUAAGAGUGUUGGAGGGUUUUCUCUUGAAACUCUGACUCGCCUCUGACCUUGGGGCCAAUUAGGGUGUUCAUGGCGAGUGAUUUUUUUUUUUUUUUCUGUGUGCGGUGGCCGUCCACUCAGCAACAUUUAUGAGUGAUUAGUUAAGCUUCGCCUGAGCUCUAUGAAGGACCUGCGAGGAGUGACAAAGCAACAUUCAGAUGCUUCUGGUAAGGGGAGUCCAGGGUAGGCUUAGGAGUGAACUUUGGUAAAAAAAAAAGAAAUGAAUGAUGAUGAAAAGAACAAAGGGGUCCUUUUACACGUCUAGUGAGUGUGUGUGUGUGUGUGUGUGUGUGUGUGUGUGUGUGUGUGUGUGUGUGUGUGUGUGUGUGUGCUUGUUAUCAAGAGGCAGCCAGGGGAUUUCCAUUUAAGCAAGUCAGCAGUAGGUUAACAAGAUACAUUGUGCAAUAUAUAAACGGUGGAGGAAGUACUCAGAUCCUGAGCACCAACAGUGUUUAGAAGGUAAAAAUACUCCAUUAGCAGUAAAGGCCUUGGAUUCAUAAUCCUGUAAAAGUACAGUAUCAGAAAAACACAAAAAGCAGUAGUUCUAAGAUUGUUUGAUGUGAUGGAAACGUGAUAUUUAUACGUGAUUUUCUACACAGAGCCAAGUGGGGACUCUAGCAGACCUUCAUGAAUGGUAAAUUAGAGAGGAAACAAUAAAAAUCAAUGUUGUGAUACAGAAAUCAGUUUUCAUUGGAUUUUUUUCUUAUCUGUAAAUGUUGGAAAUACAAUCAUCAUUUUUUUAUGAACCUUGAACAGACAAACAUGUCUUUUACCCUGUACUGUUUGCUAUUGUGUUAUUCUUGUCAAAGGACUACAGAUGCAAAUCAGACAUGUUUGAAUUCAUGGUCCCUUUUAUAUAAAAUAAAAAAAAAAAAACAUCUGAGACAUAAAUACCACUGCUCGAAAUGUCCAACCAGACACAUUUCCCUAUAGUAAAAUAUAUCAAUACAAUAUCAUAGUGACUCAAAAUCUCAAAAUCUGCAGACUUGUGCUCUGAACUGCCUAGAUGUGUCUUCUUGGACACAAAUAUAGUUUGUGUUCCAAAAAUGCCCUCUUCUUAUUUUUACUUGAUCUUACUGCCAAACAAUAAUUAAACAUCUCUCUCCUCCCUCACAUCAUUUUUGCUGUGUGUGACAUCUAAAUUCCAGGGCUUUUAUCAAGGUUAAAGAGUCGGCAUACGACCUUGUUAAUCAAUCAAAAGAUAACAUAAAGGCAGUUGUGUUUAAUGAAUACUGUUGAAUAGCCUAAAUGCAUUUUAAUCCUCUCCAUCAGAGCAUGAUUACAAAGGAUGGGUAUAUCAAGUGGUCCUUUCAUUUGGUUAACAUGAUCAAAUUGACUCCCGUGUCAUGAGAGAUGACACCAGUAGUAAUUAAUUUCUCCAUUAAGGGUGGCCGAUGUGACAGCCAUGCACAAACAGAGCAGAGUGACAGGGCGGACGCCAUAACUUCAGCAAACUGAGACAACCCAACUGCAGAGGAGGAGCUACGGGUAAUCACAUUAUCCGUCUGCCGGGGAAAGCAUUGUUCAUUAAAAUAAAACAACACAAUGUCUGCCGCUGCAUUAUCAGCAUAUUUGCAGAUGCUGCAGAUUUCUUCGUGGCCAUGCAUUUACAUAUAGUAAUGAACUUUUUAAAAUUCAUUCCAAAUUAGUCAAGUGAGCUAUUAAAGCCUGUGGGUAUUUCCACCAGGGGCCUCGCUUGCUUUUAGAUGUACAGUUUCUGUUUUUCUCUUUUCUUUCACCAAACUAUUGAGCAAAGAAAAUGAUUUAUGACAUGAAAACAGAGGUGCUUUAAUGAUGACGAUGGUGUUUAUUUAGCUGUGCAUUGGAAAAAGGAAAGCCUUAGACGAUCAGAUCAGCAGGGAUAUGAACAGAUUGAUUUUAACCUAAAUCUCUCCUUUUGUAGAUUAAUACCUACAUAUUAAAUGACUUUUUAUUAUUUUGGUAUCGGCUGAAACACUUUUGUUCCGCAUUCUCCACAACCUUCCUGCACCUCAUCCUUUAACGCAUAUCAUUUGUGAUUAUCAAAGAGCUUGUUAGAUAACUGCAUAUCUAACCAUAAACGUGUGAGGCUGCCUCUAUGUGUGUGUGUGUGUGUGUGUGUGUGUGUGUGUGUGUGUGUGCUGUCUGGUCGCCUACACGGGGGAUUUGAUAGAAAGUGAAACCAACAGUUUCUCCUCCAGCGGCGAGACCCGGGGGUUUCUCCCAUGGAGGGGGUCGAUUGUCCAGCAUUUUCACCACAAUGCUGCCGUAUGGGGAGCAGAAGGAUCAGCCGCUGGCUCCCCGCCAGAGCAAAGGCAAACACCGCACCACAUAUGCAUAGAAGUGGUCAUUUGGAGCCACCGCUUUUUACCAUAACAACAGAUGAAACACAGGAGUCACUUUGUUUCCUCUAAGAGGCAUUGUUCACAGGGCUCACCACCUCUGAAGCGGGCUCCGUAUGAGGCAGGAUAAACUUAGGGGCCCAGGCCCGGGUGUAAAUAACAAAGAAAACCUCACUUACAUGCCUCCUAAAUCCUGUCGAAAGAUGAAAAGGGAGAAAGAAAAAAAAAAAACACUCCAUUUCCUCAUCUCCUGGAAAUGAGCUUAACACAAAUACAAAUGAAUUUAUUUCAGUGGCUGUAAUGUUUGUGUGUGUGUGUUUGUGUCUGCGUUUUGGGGCUCUGUGCUAUAUCAUUUAGACAUCUGAAGAAAUUUACAAAACGCUCCGGGGCCUUUACAGUUAUUCCACAAUAUUCCACAAUAAACAACAGCAUGUAACCAUAUUAGUGGAUUUUAGCAGCAGCCACAAUCUAAAUGAGCGCUGUUUUAAAAAAAUCGGUUGUCAAAUUUGAUAUUGGUCUUUAUUGUUUAUAUAUGAAUUUGAAUUAAAGAGCAUCGUUCAAACGACUUUUACAUUGGAUUUGAGUUGAGCUCACAUACGUAGUUCAAGUGUCAUCUUGCAAAUGUGCAAUGACCAACCGUUCUUUCUCGUAUAGAAAUAUGUUCAUUUAUACAUAAGCAUUUCUAAAGAGCUGAAUGUUAACUGGCCGUUAUGGUCAAUUUUCUUACUUGCCAUUCUUUGAAAAAACUAAAAAUAUAUGACAUCGGCACAUUCAAUUGUUUCCCUUCCAAAGUGUUGUAUUAGCAGUUGAGUUUCUUCUUUUUAUCACUAAAAAGCAAUGAGCCAAUUGGCCAUUUUCUGCAGGCUUGCAGGUGGUUUAGUGUGUAUUUCAAAGCCAGUCAGUGAGCUACUUAAGAGCAGCAAUAUUAUAAUAACGAUUCACUGAUGGGAAGGUAGCAACGGAGCUGAACUUCUUACAUUCCUCCGACGCUGCCUGAUUAUGACUUUACAGGAAUACAUUAUUACUUUAAUCAACCUCAUAAUCUUAAAGAUUUCACUCUGCAGUGUGAAAUCUGUUUUGUCGGUAACUUUAGCUUUUACUCACCUCCAACAGUCAUUCUAUUACAUUUUAAAACAAAGGCCGUGUACAUUGCCUGUGAUGUUUAUAAUCGCAGUGAUGCAUCACGGUCCAUCAUCCACAUGUGAUCACACCACUGUUUUAGUAUUUACAUCACCCCGUUGAAUGGGUUGAUUGUAUGACCUCGAUAAUAGAAAAGCAGAGGUUUGAUCAGAAACAUCCAGGGGUCGUUUUCUCCUUCUAUAAGUUCAACCUUGAUGCUUAAUGUGAGGAGAUCCUAGUAAAUCAUGACAACAGAGUCCAGUCAAGUUUAUUGGAUAAGAAAUGUAAGACUGCGAAAUUGGUGGAAGUGUUUCUGAGGGGCCGCUGACGCACUGUGUUUAAACCACAACCAAUCUCAGUGAAAUAUUAAAGAGACUUUUAAUAUCCAGAGGGUGUCGGCUGGAGCGAGAGGCAGUCAGCUGCUUCUGUACAACCAAAUGUUACAGUAUGAAACAGCGUUUAGAGACGCUAUUUGACAUGGUGGAAUGAGAUUAGAUGGAAUUCAUUUCUAAGUGAGGGGAAAUUACAAGCCUAUUGGCACCCCCCCCCACACACACACACACACACACACACACACAAGAAGCCUCCAGCUCACCCCCACUAGUGGCCCAACAACGGAGGGGCAGUCGGGCAUGAACAGUGACAUGAACAGGGAAUGACCCCGCGAACCACAUCCGCAGCCACCUUCAGUACGGCUUGUUCCAAAGGUCACAUCAGUGUGAGGCCGCACAAGCACAUGUCCGCUGCUCAGUGCAAACACUGCAGGACUCAUUGGGGAUUUGACAAUGGUUUGACUUCAUAAACAUGUACACAAAUAUGAAUUUAAAGAACAAUACUCGAGUCAACAAUGAACCAGGAGCAGUGAAGCGGUCCGUUAAAAGAAAGCGCCUUCUGUUCAAACCACAAGCGUUUUCCGUCCAUUGUUCCUAUGUUGCUGUGAGCAGAGAGAGAGAGGCCCUUCACAUUCUUAUCCCUUUUUACGCAUGUCUCCGAGCUUCCAGCACAUCAGGAUGACACCUCGUGAAAAAGGGGUAACCCCACCUUUGGCUCCUCCGGGAGAACAACACGUGUCAGCGGCCCCCCGCGGGCCCUGUCAGGGGGGUGAAGAGGUUAGGCGCUCUGUGCGGCCGCACAGAUCCCGGCCUUCUUGAAGACCACCAUAAUGACUGCUAAUUACGCUGCCAUCUGCGGGGUGGGCCGUGUUAUGUAGACACCUGUUCAUUAAGCAGGAGAAAGAAACUUUUCUCACAGCGGUGUAUUGCACACCAAACCAUUAGCUUUUCCGCCUCCACAAAUACAAAAGUGUAAACAUUCGGGAUUUAUUAUUAGGGUGAAUUAUUCUCAGCUCCCACUAAAACCUCCUAGCUACACAUUAACCCACCAACAGAUGUCAAUAAAACGUCCGAGCAUGUAGAAUUGAACUCCCCUCAAUCUAAUGAUUGAGUGAACUCUGCGUGAUACCUUUCUGGCUUCCAGAAGGCAUCGCCAAGGUUAACCCGGCCAUCGGGCAGCAUUAGUAGGAGGGUGUUUGGAGGGGAAGCCGAUAAAAAGCUCUCAGAUAUCUGCUGAGGGGGAGCACCGCCUGUCAAUUCUGUGGCCCUAAGAGGUGAUCUGCCAUUACCGACUCACACACGACUAAUGAGCCGCAUUCUCUCGCCAGCACCUUGAAUAAUAUGUCAAUACUCAUUCAGGCCGCGUCGAGUGCUACCUGUUUUACUUUCACUUGAUGCGAUACACAUCCUCCCUUUUUUCCCGGGAAGAUUUAACAUCUGGCAAACUGUCCAGGUGUCUAAUAAUGUCAUGAUAAUAAUUGAGAUUACCAGUGCUGAAGAGGCUCGAUGCUGAACUUUGAUACUGUGGAAGGUUUUAAAACUGUCUCCAGACACAUUCCUCUAAUCCCCAUCUUUCCGUUGAUGAUUUAUACAGACAAAUAAUUGCCAAGCAUCACAUUUUCCCACAUUUUGUCUGUUGAGCUUACGACUCCAUUUAGCUCGAGAUCCUCUGAGAGUGAGCCAGCACAGCGAUCAUACAGUGAGGCCCAAUUAGGAUGUUGACGGAUUGAUUUUGGAAGAUAAAUUUGGGAUGUAAAAGGUUGACAUAGCUGCUGUGUCUUUUUCACUGCGUGUGUGGAUCCCAAUUAAGUGAGGAAAGGCAGCUUUUCUUUUUUUUUUCGUCUCCAGGAUCAGAGUGUCUCCCUGACAGAUGAGCCCCUAAUGAGAGCAAAUCUCACUAAAUCCUCAAGAAACAUGAUAAAUUGAAUCAUGUUCACCCUGUUCAUUUGUCGUGUUCACAGAUGAGACAAAACGCAACAUUUAUCUAUUCAACAAAUAGCAAAUGAGUGGGUGGGUCCAUCAUUGUUCAUACAGUGUCUGUCUUCUUAAUGUUAUAUUAAACUGGGACUAAUCUGGCAAGGAUUUGUACGGUUAGUAAUGCUGUAUUUUGAUCAGACUUGUCUGACUUGAAACAGUGUGGAUGUUGAAAACAGACAUAUGUUACGUCCCGAGGCCUCAAUCUGCCUCCCUCCCUAUAUUUACGAGACAAAUUAAGGAGGCCAUCUCUCUCAUUAUCAAACUCUAAACCCUUGCCAUAUGUAUUGCUAUUAUUAGACAACCAGCAGAAGAUGUCCUAUUUUCAAAUUUAAAUUACCAAGUAUAACCUUAAUUGGUUAGAAACGUUGUUUAGUGGAUGGUAUCAAAGUCGGGCUUGGGAGAGAAUUCGACAGAUGGCUUAGUCUUAUGACUUAUAUUAACACCUUCGAAGUUUAAUGAACUGUUAAUUGCUUUUCUAAUACAUAAUGGGACCAUUGGAAUACGAGCGGUAAUGCAAACAGAUUAGUUUGCAGACAACAGAUAAACAACCGUCCUGUUCAAUGUCACCUUUAAGUACCUUGAAAACAAAAGCUGUAGGACAAAAAGAGAAAAGACCCAUUUUAGAAAUGAUGCAGAUAUUAUAAAACGCUACAAUAACUUCUUAAUUCAACAUAUAUAAGAGCAUGUGUAAUUAAAGUAUAGAAAAUAAUACUGAUUAAUGUGUGUGUCUAAAUUAAUCAUUAAUCAAUUAAAAAUGUCUUGUUAUGCAAAAGUACAACAUAAAAAAACCUUUAACAGCAUAACAAAACAUGAAUAAUUAAUUUAUUUGACUGUUGUAAUUGUUUACCUCUAGUUCACAUGUGAAUUUAAUGUGAAUCUUUGCAACUUUUCUAUGUGACCACAGUUGGUAGUUGCAGGGUAAUAAAACAUGCAAAAUCAAUAGCAGAGAUGAAGCCAUAACGUGGAAUAUGAGACUAAUAUUAGUCCAUCAUGAGUUUAUUUACAUUAGUUAUGGUCACACCGGAACAGUGCAUUGCAUUGAGAAUUGCUUGUUGCUUAACUUUAACUGAAUAAGACUUUUAUUUAAAUGUACCUGUAUCUUAUAUUAUGGUGUUUGUAAAAUCUAAAUUGGAUAAAAUUUUCCGGUAGCUGUUUUCUAAAUAUUGUACAGUUUGUUUACCACAUUUGGACCAUAUGACAGACGUCAGUAGUUAAGGUUUUUAUUUGGUUAUAAAAUGAAUGAAUUUCUUUCUCCUGAUGGUCCACAUUUGUGUUUCUGAGAUUGUUUUUGGAGAAAAGAAUCUCUCAGUCCCACUGAUAAAAUUGCACAACUCUAAAAUGUCCCCAUUCACUGCAGUUCUGUGUGUUUUAGCUGUGCUUGUAAUACGGUGUGUGCAUUGUACCUGAGCAACCAUAAAUGCACUGCUACCUCCAGGAGGCAGCGCUUUAUUAAAUUAAGCCGUCUUUAAGGUCAAUAUACUUCUGUAAUGAGUUGUCUCUUUUGAUCAUCAGAGGUUAAAUUGUACUUUGAUCCUCACUCCCUUUAACGGUGUUUGUGUCUCAGCUAAGCUAACACCAACCCAGAUUUUUUUUAGCUUACGUCAGCAUAAGUAAUGUUUUGCAUGGUUAAAACCUAUUUCCAUAACUAAGUGUAAUUUCCCUUCAGUUUGUUCCUGUUUAAUGAGGUGAAGUCUUGUUUGUUUGCCUCCCAAUGUCACCAGAGAAGUCAUUCAAGCGGCUUUGUCAGAAUUAAAUCAAAUUAGAAUUACCACACUGUCAUUUUACAUCAAACGUUACAUCAAAUGUGCUUUUCCUUUUUCUGCGUGGCUUUUACUUCCCUCAGAACACUUGGAGGGGCUCCUUGAUGGAAUGUGUAAAUGACUGGUCGGUGGUGUCGGUGUGGCGACGGCGGGGGGGUGAUGGCCGAGGAGAGGAAAUGACCAACAUUGAUUUAUCCUGGAUGUGCUCUUGUCUGGUUGGUGCCGUCAGAACACCUCGCUGCAUCCCAUUCCCUCCCAUUAUCUCCUCGCGAUCACCGCAGUCCAACGAGUUUCCUGCAGGGUCAUAAAUACUUCCCCCAGACCCCAUACUGCUUCCACAUCAUCCUCUAGACGCCGCCUAAUGACAGCGAAAGACAGACAAUGCAUCCUUUCUCUCGUGACCGCCGUGCCGCUCUCUGUUCGUGCACAUUUUACAGUGGCUGAAGAACGUAUACAUUCAGGAAGAGAGGCCAGCAGCACCGUGUUUCCCCCCCAGACUUUGCAUUUAAAAUGGUACAUUAAAGCAACAUGUCUGAAAAUAUUGCACAUGAUUGAUGUUGGUAAUGACAGUGUUUUCUCAGUGUGAAAGUCAUGGUUUUUUUUCUCUACAGUUAAGGUCCUAAAGAAAAGAAAAUGUCAGAGCCCCGAAACAGACAAAAAAGACGCCGCUGACAACCAUAACAGAGAAAUGCAUUCAAAGGCUUCCAACACUCCUUCGUGUGAAGGAGAUGUAUCAGAGACGAUGAAUCAAAUUCAUUAUUUAUUUUCGGUGGUCAUCCAAAUAUAUUAGAGAGCUGCACACAAUGACCCACUAGUCUUCUCUUCACAAAUCCACAUCAACAUCCUAUCAGGGAGACAUAUUUAUAAACCACUUCAGUCUAAAAUAAGAGAGUUCCAAAUGAUUCCCUUCUGCUAUGUGGCCGAGUCAAGUGGGAGGUCAAUUGCGUGAUUGUUUCUUUGAUCAUCUGUGUACAGUAGACCGCAAACAAGUUUCUUUUCAUCAACCAGUUUACAGGAAGAAGCAGCGCAUGAAAAUAAUUGUGAGUGACGUAACCUGAGAGUGCUGCCAGCGAGAUGUCCUGCAUCUUCAUUUCUGUUCUGGGUUUCAUGAAUUGUUCCAUUCCAUAGAUUAGUAAAUUGACACAUAAGCAUUUCACCAGCAAGAUGCCGACAUUGUUAGCCACAGUUUAGGGAUUAAACAUAUUCCAAUUAUUCCAGAAAGUUGCAAGCUAAGAUGAAUGUCAUAAAAAAAAUGUCAUAGUUAGAAAUACACCUAUAGGCAAAACAAAAAGGCCCUGUCAGAAACUUAACAAAAGUUUUAACACACCUUUAUUGUAACCCCCAGAUCGGGAGAUUUUAAUUCAAUUCCAUAAAAAAAGUUGUAUUCUGUAGUUAAUAAUGAAUUAAAAAGUGAUGAAGUACUUUACUAUUAGAAUCAUAUUACCAGGUUGUAAUUAAUGAUGAAACCAUAACAAACUUAUAGGUCAUAUAGGUGGGAAAAGGACUCACUAGAUGACCACACCUGCAGCAAAAUGUUGUACAAUAAUUACUAGAUCAGCUUGUGAAACACAGAAUUAAAGGAUUAACAAACCGCUCGUGACUAAAAAACACAGUGAAUAGGAUGAGUCCUGUUCACCAGCAUGUGGGAAAUGGUAAAAAAAAAAAGUCCUCUAAUGUGGUCAUCUCAAUUGAUUUUCAUUGCACCGGUCUUCAUUAAAAUGGCAUGAAUCCCAAACAGAAAUUUGGGUGUUAUCUUCUUAUCUAGUGAAGUGCUUUAUUCUGCACACCUUUCAAUCGUUUACAUGUUUGGGUGGAUGUACAUCCACUUACGUUGUCUAUGGUGAGUUUAUGGUGCAUGUUUCUAGAGAUAAACCGAUAUAAGUCAGCUUAUUCACACAACCCCACACUGGGUUUGGCAGACCAUAUUUAGGAACAGUCAGCUGGCAGAAUGAACCGGCCACCCACAGAUCCCGUGCAUUGUAAAGCUGCCACAUGCUCUAUUAGUCCCCGCUGUUUGAAUGUAUACAUUAAAGAUAGCAGAACAAAAUCAGACAGCGAGGCGCCCUCAGUGCCAUGAAAUCGGAACACGAUCGUCCUUUGGGCAAAUAUGAAUAUUCACAGCGCGCCUCAGUCUACGCCGUCAGAAGCCAUAGCACGUGAGCCAAUGCCGGCUUCGAUGUGAUGCUUCGAGUGACUCUUUAUCCACAGAGUUCUAGCACAUAUUGUAAACUGUAAUAUAUGACCUCGCGUUGAGCUUAUUCUUUGCGGGUUCCCGCAGACGAGCCGCGCACCCUGUAGGGACACGAGUGACUGAGCACUGCUCGAUUGAGUAAGCCUCCUAAUAGAAUGGCGUGUUUAGGCCUGUCAUUCAAUUCAAAGGAGAGAAGCGUCGUGUGAUGAGGAAGCUCGGUAAACGAGUAUAGCAGCAAUAAUGUCUACAGACCUGUGGUGUUUAGUUUGCUGUUAAGGAUGACAUUAGCAGAGGCAUGGACCCAGGGAUGCUGAUCAACCCUGAGGUCCUGUGCACAUGUGAUGGUGUUUCUGGCUCAUUUCCUGCACCAUAAUCAAAGCUUAUGUACCUUUGUUUGAGGUCGGAUAGGGGUCUGUGUGCUCAUAAUCUUUGAAAGCUUGUUAUCAUGUAACUGGCCUCAGCGAUAAGUAUUAGUUUCCUCUGCCUAUGUCAUUGUUCCUGUGUGUCUCUUUCUCUCUCAUCCUUCUCUCUCACAACCUCUAACGGACGUGGGAGGGAAUCAGCUAAUUGAGGAUGUAAACGGAACACCCAAAAUGUCUCUUACCUCAGCAGAAAAUCUAUCACGGGAGACAAUGUCAACUUUCACACGGGGGAGGGACAUAUUUUUUGAGUACAUUACAAGGGUGGCACUGCAAUCAGAAGGUGUGAUACCGACCCCCCCCCCUCCAAUCUGCUGCACCCAGCCUACCCAUUGCUACCGGGCGGAGGACUAUCUGAUGGGUUCCUCUUCGCUGGUCACUCAGCAGCGGUGGAGAUUCAGGGGAAAAAGGAGGGAGACAAGACGAGAGGGGCAGGAGUAACAAGGAGUGAGGUGAAGAGGAGAUUGUCGGGGGAGAAUAAAGUGGUCCGCCCAUUUGUUUAUGUGUGUGUGUGUGUGUGUGUGUGUGUGUGUGUGUGCCACAACACUCUCCCAAGCGACAGAAACCUUGUUGUGAUUUAUGCAGCCUGAGAUAUGAGUGCUGGUUACGCAGUAGCAAGACAUCGAUCUGACAAAGCAAAGCAAACAAUAAAGAGGCGAGGAAGAUGAUGUGCCCAGUGGGGCGGAGAAAUGGAGAGUGUACCUAUAAGAGCUAAUUAUCUGAGCACAUAAUUCUUCAGGUUAAGACAGGGGAGCCGAGAGCCAGCCAAGCCACAGCUGUCGGGGAAAAAGCCUCAGCUACAAAAUGGGCUCAAGGUCCCACACCUCGGUCAAGAAUAAUUCAAAGUUGAAUUGUAUAUCAGUGCAACUUGUCAAUAAGAUAGAUGUAGAUAAAAUGCGUAGGGCCUGGAUUCAUUCUGGGUGCAGCAAACUAUCCCUUAUGCCGCAAAAAGGAAAAAACACAACCUUUGCACGGUGUCAUAAACUGUGAUUCAAUUCAAGUUUUUGAGCAAAUGUUUGCAACAAAAGGCCACCGGGACUGAAUACGCCCCUCUAUUAAAAUGGGUAUAAAGGCAAUAGAUUACAGCAUUAUCGAAGCAAACAUUUUGUUUACAUUCAUGUCAAUCUCUGCAUUAAAAAAUGGUUUUUGAGCAACAUUUCUUUUGAACAUCUUCUUUGAACAUAGUGGAUGUGUUUGUCAUUUUUUGCAGUUUAUUCAGCAUCAACUUAAAUUCAAAGAAUCCUUUAGUUGGACUAAAUCUGCUAGUUGCAGUAGGCAGUCUGAAAAUUCACAGCCUUAUUCUUCUUCAGUUUCGGAGAUUAUAAGGUUUUGUUCAGAGGUUAUGUAAUAGCGACAGAUGACCUUAUUUUUGUAUUCAGAAAUCCAUUACAAACACUGCGCAAGUUCACCAUUCACAGUUCAAAUACAUUCUUCCAUCUUCAUGCCAUUUCACUAUAAGCCCUCAAAAUAAUAGUUGUAAUAUUCGCAAUAAUUAUUAUCUUGCAAACUCAUUCUCUGCUUCUGUAAGCAGCGAUCUUUUAAUUAGACACAACCACAUGUACACAAAGACUGGGGCGGUGGGUGCUCAGUGCCAUUAAUAACACUAUAUAAAAAGCAAAGCCAGACAGCCUCUGACACUUUUAGUAGUUUGGGAAACAAGAUGUAAUCUGCGUUUCGGUGCCAGGAGCGGACCGUAGCUGUGUGUGUGCGAGGAAAGAGGGAGUAUGGCUUGUAAGUCAACGCAAACAGAGCACUGUGAGUACAUCACUGAUGAAGACAUUAUCUGUGAGUUAUAAUCGCACAACGGACGGGUGGGAGAAGUGCAAAGGAACCAUGAGACAGAGAAAGUGACGGAGGAAAUGGGCAUUUGUUGUUGCCAAGGUCAGUCACUGAGGUACGUUAUUAGCGCUGUGUAUUAAAUUCACAAGUCAGUAUCAAUAAAAACUGUAGAAUUUACACACUGGAUUGUAUUUUUGUUUUGGUUCUAGUGUGUUCUUCCAUCCACUGCAUUCUGUUUUAUAUGGCAUUGAGUUGCAUCACGGCAUUUUGUUGUGGGCAUGAGAGGAUAGAGCAAACGAUUCGGUCCCAUUUAGUGGCACCCUUGGCACACAUCUAACCUUGGCAUGCUGCUGGACAUGCUCCAACAGCCCUGAACAUGCUGAGGUUUGAAUCCAGAAAUGCCUUUGUGCAGCGCCGGCCAUGGGAGGCACCAUUGAUAUAUCCCCAACUGUAUCGCAUCAGUCAAGACUCCAUAGCUAAUCCCACACAUCAGAUAACCAGUAAAUUUGCAAUAACCAGAUAGCAUAUGCUUAAAAAUGUGAAUCAUCUUCCAAAGUAUGUAGGCACAAUAUUAAAAGGUCAACAGCCAGUUUGCACAUUCAUUAAUAUUUUACCAGUUGGGAGAAUCUGUUACAGUAGGUUUAAGUCAUGCAAGGUCAAUUUGCGUCAUUGUUUCCUUGUUUGUGUGUUUGUUUGUUUAAUAUAAACCAUGAAUUCUAAUUCUGGCAGCACAGAAUGGCCACAUUAAGCAGGCAUGGCAGCCUGGGACGGGUUCCAGCUGGAAGCAUGCGCGGGAUGCUGCCUUCCCGUGACAACACUGCCUUCACUGGCAAAAGCUAAAUACUCUCUCCUUUCCAGAUAGUCAGUAGAAAAGGAGAGGUUAAAUCCGAUAUUUACAGCAUUAGUAAAUCUUUGGAGUCUCUUUUUUACUUGUGGUUUCUACCCCCUGAAUAGUUGUAAUUAUAUUGUGAUUUGUGGAUCUGCCUUAACAGGAUUUAUCUGUGCCAGAAUUAACUGAUAAGAUGAGAAGGGUUAUGUGCUAUAUUCCCACUGGAAUGUAAGAGACGUGAUCAUUUUCAAAUCUUACUUCACUAUUCAUCAUCUUUUCCCUCCUCCUUUUUUCAGCCAGGCUGGCUGGUUAGUUUGUUUAAUGGGUGUCUGAGCUGUGCUGUCUGCAGGAGGAAAUGUCUGAGUUCAGCUAAAGUGCAUCAGUGUGUGUGUGUGUGUGUGUGUGUGUGUGUGUGUGUGUGUGUCAGGUGGUCAGCCGCUGGUGAGUAUUAUUUAGUCAGCCAACUUCACUCUGACCUGGAAUGGUGAAGGGGACUCUCCACAACCCACAUACACGUGGCAAAAACAUGUCAGUUACACAACCGUAUGUGCAAAGACAGAUUGUGUCUGGUUCGGCUUUCUUUGUAAGAAAUGUUAGAUUCAAAAUGGUACAUUAAUCCAUGACAACGAAUCCUGAACGAAUUUCAUUGACACUAUGUUUGCGAAUUCCUUUCUACCCAUGAAGCCAAAUGAAGAUUAGAAACACGGGUGGCGGCAGUGUCACACGGCAGCGGUGCCAUAAAAACCUCCUUCCCCGCUGCCGUCUCCAGCACGCUGCAGAAGCGCGGCGCUAAUCUUUGGUCCGCUUGCCUUCAUUGGCCUUUACUGCGUGGAGCCACCUUUCUCUCACACUUUCAUCACAAUCCCAUUUGCCCCCACAGCCGGAGAGCCCCCUGUGAAACUCUACCCCUCGCUCCACCAUUCCGACGUCCCUAUGAUGGAUGGCCGCACCUUAGGUCCCCUCAGCCUGUCCAUCAAGCCGGGCGAUUAAAACACUUGGAAUGACCAACAUUUUUCUCUCCCUUUCCCCCCCCCUCAUUCAACCCCUUGUCCCCCAUGCCACCCCUCCACUCUCAGGCCACCACCACUGCAGCCCUCUGCCCCCCUCCCCAAUACUCCUCUCCCACUGCAACUGCCCCCCAGAACCCCACAAUCCAUCUUGAGGAGAAAAAACAUCAUUUAUUCUAUACUUCCCAGAUAAUUUACUUUUUCUCUCCCUCUUUCGUUCCCCUUUUUUCUUUUUCCCCUCCUUUCCACAGGAAUUCUCCAUUUCCCUAUAAAAUGAAAAUUCAUCUGGAAUUACAUCUUAUGUCAUCAUUAUGUUUAUUAAGCGUGGAUGAUGUAUAUGAGGAGCUGCGGCGUGCCGCUGAGUGCUUAAUGAUGCAUAAGAUUAAGCCGAGCCUCUCAGCUGUGCUGAGACUCCCCUCUGCUUCCCAGGCUGCAGACACACGCUGGGGGAACAGGCUCCAAACGGCCAUCAGGUGAACAGGGGAUAGGGAGAGCCUCCAUCCUCUUUGUGUGUCAGCAGAGAAGGAGGAAAAGAAGUGUGGAGUCGACGCAUAAGAGUUGCUGAGAGGGGAGGAUCAGAGAGUUGGCAGCGACUUUGGAGAAAGAAAAAAGAAACGUUUUUUAGUAUCGGUUUGUUGGGUGCCGUCAAAGGGAACGUCUGAAAGUCUGUCCACACGUUGUAACUAGUACAGUCAUUUUCUGUAAUAAUCACCAGCUUCUCUCUGUUGCUUUCCUCCUACAAAGUCCCACAACUCCAAAAGGACACACAUGUAUACCUCUCUGAUCUUCGCAUAACUUUUGAUCUUAGUUCACACACACAUACACACAUGCACACACAUGCACGCACAUGCACGCACGUGCACAAGAAGAUUUGUUCCCGGCCUCCCUGUAGCCCAACAGCAGAAGCACCAGCAGUCUAUGACAAAAACAUUAUCCUUCUGGUGCUAAACAAUCCAAUAAACCUCUCCACGGGGAAGAACUUAACCUCUCCUCUCCUCUGAUGUUGACUUCCAGACCACGUGACUGCUGCCACAGUAAAUUCAAAUCAUUAGUCUUCUCACUCGGCCAAACGCACAGGGAAGGAGAAAAAAAAUCUGCCUCUAUUAGUAAUGGAGACCUCGUCGGAGACCUUCCUCCGAGAGCCCUGCCUUCCCAAUUCCCACAGGAAAAAUCCCAAGCAAAAAACUAAUUCUACUUUUAAUAAUCUGUCAUCAGGACCAGAGGCAGUCAUAAAUUAUGUGGGGAGCAUGUGCGGCAGCGGGCCACGAGAGGGAACUCAGGGGGAGAAAUCAAAGGCUGAGUUUGACAAACUUUGCUGAGGAUAAAUAAUAACUUACAAACAGGAUUAGUUGUUAAGUCGUGGUUGAGUGACCCGCCAAGCAGUUUUCCUCUAUGCAGGAU